Molecule: ribosomal RNA, 253 nt
Filed under: uncultured bacterium
Lineage: Bacteria
Description: partial 16S ribosomal RNA
Rfam family: Bacterial small subunit ribosomal RNA
Source: RNAcentral
UACGUAGGGUGCAAGCGUUGUCCGGAAUUAUUGGGCGUAAAGAGCUCGUAGGCGGUUUGUCGCGUCUGCUGUGAAAACUCGGGGCUUAACUCCGGGCCUGCAGUGGGUACGGGCAGACUAGAGUGCGGUAGGGGUGACUGGAAUUCCUGGUGUAGCGGUGGAAUGCGCAGAUAUCAGGAGGAACACCGAUGGCGAAGGCAGGUCACUGGGCCGCAACUGACGCUGAGGAGCGAAAGCGUGGGGAGCGAACAGG